Long non-coding RNA from Symphalangus syndactylus (siamang), 834 nucleotides. RefSeq lists it as uncharacterized. The record is from RefSeq and is a predicted model, not a curated record. Lineage: Eukaryota; Metazoa; Chordata; Mammalia; Primates; Hylobatidae.
ACCAUCAUGGCCUAAUCACCUUCCAAAGAAUCUACCUCCCAACAUCAUCACAUUGAUGACUACAAUGACUACAAAUUUUGGAAGAACCCAAACAUUCUGACCAUAGCAACCGCCCACAAACAUCCAAAUACUACCCUGGGGAGUGAGAUGGGAGGAGAAAACCUGAAAAACUGAACAUUUUUCAGAAUCCUUCAGGAAGACACUAAGAUAGCUAAGGAAAAUAGUAGCAUGGGGGAACCUGGCGUAUACUCCUUGGAUGAGCUUGAGGCAAUUAGAGAUGGGGUUUCUCUCUAUUGUCCAGGCUGGAGUGCAGUGAUGUGAACAUUGCAGCCUCUAACUCUUGAGCUCAAGCAAUCCUCCGGCCUCAGCUUCCUGAGUAUCUGAGACUAUAGGAAGAGAGAGACAUCAAGUAAUUGCCUAGUUUAGACCACAUUCUAUAAGCAAGACUCUAGGUUUUCCCAGAGACUUGAGCAUCCAUGACAUGCUGAAAUAUAUACUGGGAAAAAGACCCUGCAGCCCCUUCAUGAAGGCAUUGAGCAGAUGGGCAGCCUGCCACACUAGAACCUGGCUGUGCUUCCAGUUGUUCACAGGUGCUCUUUCUUGCUGGCUUUGAUGAUGCAAGCUGCCAUGCUCACGCUGUGAGUUGCCCUAUGCUAAAGACCAUAUGAGAAGGAACUCAGAACAGUCAACAAGAAAGUGAGGCCUUCAGUCCAACAACCCACAAGAAAUUGAAUCCCAUCAAAAACCACAUGAGUUUGGAAGCAGAUUCUUCCUCAGUGGAACAGUCCAGUGAGACUCCCACUCUGGCCAAUGCCUUGUCUGCUGCCUUAUGAA